RNAcentral lists this ribosomal RNA (253 nucleotides) under uncultured bacterium. RNAcentral describes it as "partial 16S ribosomal RNA". It matches the Rfam family "Bacterial small subunit ribosomal RNA", at positions 524 to 776 of the family's 1533-position model. The record is from RNAcentral.
UACGAAGGGGGCUAGCGUUGUUCGGAAUCACUGGGCGUAAAGCGCACGUAGGCGGAUCUUUAAGUCAGGGGUGAAAUCCCGAGGCUCAACCUCGGAACUGCCUUUGAUACUGGGGAUCUCGAGUCCGGGAGAGGUGAGUGGAACUGCGAGUGUAGAGGUGAAAUUCGUAGAUAUUCGCAAGAACACCAGUGGCGAAGGCGGCUGACUGGUCCGGUUCUGACGCUGAGGCGCGAAAGCGUGGGGAGCAAACAGG